GCCUAAGGUAUGCAAGUCGAAUGCCGAUUUAUCGGCAUGGCAGACGGCUGAGUAAUACAUGGGAAUCUACCUCAAACUCGAGAAUAGCCCAUCGAAAGGUGGUGUAAUACUCGAUAGUUCCGUUUACGGUAAAGCUCCGGCGGUUUGAGAUGAGCCCAUGUCCUAUCAGGUUGUUGGUAGGGUAAUUGCCUACCAAGCCUAUGACGGGUAGCUGGUUUGAGAGGAUGAUCAGCCAGACUGGGACUGCGAUACGGCCCAGACUCCUACGGGAGGCAGCAACUAGGAAUCAUGCGCAAUGGACGAAAGUCUGACGCUGCGACGUCGCGUGAGGGAUGAAGGUCUUCGGAUCGUAAACCUCUUUUAUCUGGGAACAAGUUCUGAGUGUACCAGAUGAAUAAGUGCCUGCCAACCACGUGCCAGAAGCAUCGGUAAUGCGUGGGGCACGAGCGUUAUCCGGAUUUACUGGGCGUAAAGAGAUGCGUAGGCGCCUUUUUAAGUCACUUGUAAAAUCUCCCCGCUCAACGGGGGAACUGCAAGUGAUACUGAAUUGGUUGAGUCAAGUAGAGGAGAGGGGAAUUCCUGGUGGAGCGGUUAAAUGCGUUGAUAUCAGGAGGAAUACCAAGUGCGAAGGCACCUCUCUGGACUUGUACUGACGCUAAGGCUCGAAAGUGUGGGGAGCAAAACGGAUUAGAUACCCGUGUAGUCCACACUGUAAACGAUCCCUGCUAGAUGUUUGC
Molecule: ribosomal RNA, 737 nt
Filed under: uncultured organism
Description: bacterial SSU rRNA
Rfam family: Bacterial small subunit ribosomal RNA
Source: RNAcentral